This 224-nucleotide long non-coding RNA is filed under the name Phoenix dactylifera (date palm). Its description in RNAcentral is "long non-coding RNA (PDAC_LNC000283)". The record is from RNAcentral. Lineage: Eukaryota; Viridiplantae; Streptophyta; Magnoliopsida; Arecales; Arecaceae.
UCUUUUAUUAAGAAAAAUGUAACUGAAAGCAACUAGAAUGAAAAAUCUAAAGGACACCAAUCCAAUACCAGACAGGAAGUGCUAGUAUAGAGAUUCUUGGGUCUCCCUGAAUGGCAAUAUUAUCCAUGCAUUGCACUUAAAUCAACUAGAAGCCUCAGUUCAUUGAUGUUCUACCUACCAUUUUUUACAACACAUUAAUGGGUGAUAUGAACCUGAGAAAAGCU